UCCGAGCUGGAACGGGACGCCUUAGAGGGUGAGAGCCCCGUACGGUUAGAUGCCGAGCCUCUGUAAAGCUCCGUCGACGAGUCGAUUAGUUUGGGAAUGCUGCUCUAAAUGGGAGGUAAAUUUCUUCUAAAGCUAAAUAUGGCCAGAGACCGAUAGCGCACAAGUAGAGUGAUCGAAAGAUGAAAAGUACUUUGAAAAGAGGGUUAAACAGCACGYGAAAUUGUGAAAGSGAAGCGUUUAUGACCAGACUUUUUCUAGGCGGAUCAUCCGGUGUUCUCACCGGUGCACUUUGCCUAGUCUAGGCCAGCAUCGGUUUCCGUAGGGGGAUAAAAUUAGUGGGAAUGUGGCUCCCUCGGGAGUGUUAUAACUGCUAAAUAAUACCUUUAUGGGGACCGAGGUUCGCGCUCUGCAAGGAUGCUGGCGUAAUGGUCAUCAACGACCCGUCUUGAAACACGGACCAAGGAGUCGAACAUUUGUGCGAGUGUUUGGGUGUUAAACCCUCACGCGUAA
RNAcentral lists this ribosomal RNA (510 nucleotides) under Amphisphaeria sorbi. RNAcentral describes it as "eukaryotic LSU rRNA". It matches the Rfam family "Eukaryotic large subunit ribosomal RNA", at positions 180 to 719 of the family's 3401-position model. Lineage: Eukaryota; Fungi; Ascomycota; Sordariomycetes; Amphisphaeriales; Amphisphaeriaceae. The record is from RNAcentral.